RNAcentral lists this ribosomal RNA (406 nucleotides) under uncultured Enterobacteriaceae bacterium. Its description in RNAcentral is "bacterial SSU rRNA". It matches the Rfam family "Bacterial small subunit ribosomal RNA", at positions 356 to 774 of the family's 1533-position model. Lineage: Bacteria; Pseudomonadati; Pseudomonadota; Gammaproteobacteria; Enterobacterales; Enterobacteriaceae. The record is from RNAcentral.
GGGGAAUAUUGCACAAUGGGCGAAAGCCUGAUGCAGCGACGCCGCGUGAGGGAUGACGGCCUUCGGGUUGUAAACCUCUUUCAGCAGGGAAGAAGCGAAAGUGACGGUACCUGCAGAAGAAGCGCCGGCUAACUACGUGCCAGCAGCCGCGGUAAUACGUAGGGCGCAAGCGUUAAUCGGAAUUACUGGGCGUAAAGCGCACGCAGGCGGUCUGUCAAGUCGGAUGUGAAAUCCCCGGGCUCAACCUGGGAACUGCAUUCGAAACUGGCAGGCUAGAGUCUUGUAGAGGGGGGUAGAAUUCCAGGUGUAGCGGUGAAAUGCGUAGAGAUCUGGAGGAAUACCGGUGGCGAAGGCGGCCCCCUGGACAAAGACUGACGCUCAGGUGCGAAAGCGUGGGGAGCAAACA